AGCAGUGUGGCCUAGUGGAAAGAGCAUGUGUCUGGGAAUCAGUGGACCUGGGUUCUAAUCCCAGCUCUGCCA
This 72-nucleotide transfer RNA is filed under the name Ornithorhynchus anatinus (platypus). It matches the Rfam family "tRNA". Rfam says of the family: Transfer RNA (tRNA) molecules are approximately 80 nucleotides in length. Their secondary structure includes four short double-helical elements and three loops (D, anti-codon, and T loops). The record is from Rfam by way of RNAcentral. Lineage: Eukaryota; Metazoa; Chordata; Mammalia; Monotremata; Ornithorhynchidae.